Long non-coding RNA from Stomoxys calcitrans (stable fly), 813 nucleotides. RefSeq lists it as uncharacterized. The transcript is spliced from 4 exons. NCBI's taxonomy places the organism in Eukaryota, Metazoa, Arthropoda, Insecta, Diptera, Muscidae. The record is from RefSeq and is a predicted model, not a curated record.
GCAUAAUGCAAAUUUCUUAUUUACGAAAAAGCAAAGAAAGAAUUAAAUCCGGCUUACCCGAUAUUUGAAUACCCUCUCCCACAAAUUCUAUUUGAAGUUACAAAAAGAAGACAAUUCAUGAGUCCCUAUUAUGUCAACGAAUGUUCAGGUUCAGCCUUAUGUAGAAUCCUUUUUUCCCACCACUGUAUGUAUAUUUAUAUAUAUAUUUUUUUGUCCACCACUGUGUAUAUAUGGAAGCUGUAUACACAUGAUCUGAUCGGGACCAAAUUCGGCAGAUAUGUGGAGGUCUGAUAAAAUAUUCUGUAGCACAUUCGGCCGAAAUCGGGAAGAUCGGUCCAAAUAUCAGGAUAUAUAAAUGUCUAAUGGAGCUUACGUUUCUGCCAAAUCGAGUAGUAAAUUGUAUUUAUGAAGUGUAUGCUGAAUGAAACCAUUUUUUAAAUCACUACCAUUUUAACCUCGGUACCAUUUUAACCUCAUGCUGAGGGGUACAAUGCAACUCACUGUAACGGCGGAAACGGGUAGUAAAUCUGGAGGCAGCAUUAUCCGACAUUGUUGUUUAUGGAAAUCGGGCAAAAUACAAUUUUUAUAAAUUCAAGAUUACUUAUCGGGAAAUCGGUAUAAUGGGUGCUAUAUCUAUGGUCACCUAUAACUAUACAAAUUUGCCCAUGAACACUCCAUUAAGGAACAGGGGCAAACGUCUCACAAUCAAGUUUAAGCUCAAUGAUAAGUGCGAACGGCGUGCCGCAGUGCGACACCUAUUUGCAGAGAAGUUUAUACUCGGCUGCCAUACCAAAUGGUACAGUACCUCACAUA